This 440-nucleotide ribosomal RNA is filed under the name uncultured bacterium. RNAcentral's name for it is "partial 16S ribosomal RNA". It matches the Rfam family "Bacterial small subunit ribosomal RNA", at positions 338 to 795 of the family's 1533-position model. The record is from RNAcentral.
CCUACGGGAGGCAGCAGUGGGGAAUAUUGCACAAUGGGGGAAACCCUGAUGCAGCAACGCCGCGUGAGUGAAGAAGUAUUUCGGUAUGUAAAGCUCUAUCAGCAGGGAAGAAGAUGACGGUACGUGAGUAAGAAGCCCCGGCUAACUACGUGCCAGCAGCCGCGGUAAUACGUAGGGGGCAAGCGUUAUCCGGAUUUACUGGGUGUAAAGGGAGCGUAGACGGUGCGACAAGUCUGAAGUGAAAGCCCGGGGCUCAACCGCGGGACUGCAUUGGAAACUGCCUGACUGGAGUGCAGUAGAGGAAAGCGGAAUUCCUAGUGUAGCGGUGAAAUGCGUAGAUAUUAGGAAGAACACCAGUGGCGAAGGCGGCUUGCUGGACAGUAACUGACGUUGAGGCUCGAAAGCGUGGGGAGCAAACAGGAUUAGAUACCCUGGUAGUC